RNAcentral lists this ribosomal RNA (198 nucleotides) under Triticum aestivum (bread wheat). Its description in RNAcentral is "partial small subunit ribosomal RNA". The record is from RNAcentral. Lineage: Eukaryota; Viridiplantae; Streptophyta; Magnoliopsida; Poales; Poaceae.
AUGAAUUUCACAUGUGGACCAUUUAUUGUUUGUGUUAUUGGAAUUUUGUUGCAUUAUUCAUACAGAAAAAUACUCCGUCCGUCCCAAAAUACAAAGUUGAGUCACUUAUUUUGGGACGGUUCUCGGGCUGAAACUGAUAUUCAAAAUUGCAGGUUCUGUGAGAGUGUUGUAAUGUUUGUAAUUAUAUAUUGCUUUUGA